AGCUAAUUAUAUGCCAAUCUCUUUCCUUUCAUAUCAAAAAUUCUUGAAAGAGUACUUGUCAAACAGCUAACAGAUUGCCUCAUGCAUUAGGUGCUGCGUCCUCAUGCUGCAUAAUCUGCCAACUACCUUGAUGAUGUUAUCAUCCACAGUGAUCACAUCUGGGUGGAGCAUGUCAAGUGUGAGGCUGCGGUCCUUGAGACCCUGAGGCAGGCGGGGCUCACGGCCAACCUGAAGAAGUGUGCAGUUGGAUGGAGGGAGGUACAGUAUUUUGAGUACCACUUGGGGGGCAGUCAGAUGCGUUCACAGGCGGAGAAGAUGGCAGCCAUUGGAUCCUGCCCUGACGAGCCCGUCGGCUGAUCUCACCUGAAGAUCGCGCCCCAGAUCUGGUCCAGUGGAUGGAACGCUGGCCAGGCAGCAUUUGCACAGACCCGACACCUCAAAGAGAGGGCUGCCGUUUUGUCCCAGCAGGUAAGGGGGGUCGACCACCCGAGAGUGUACAUCCGCAAGAAGCUGACCCACCGAGAAACGUGGUACAGCACCAUGGAGAAGGAGUGUCUGGCGAUCUUGUGGGCAGUUGAUUCACUACGCUAUUACCUCGUGGGAUGCUCAUUCACCCUCCGCUCAGACCACAGGGGGAUUGUAAGACCAGGACUGCUAAAAGAAAGGCCAGUCCUGAAAAGAAGACCCCAAUAAAAAGGAGGAGGGUCGCUGAGCAGGCUGGUCCUUCCACCAGCUCGGAUGUGGUCAAAGGAGUGAAGCGCAAGGUUGUGCAAGAUGGAGAGGGCACAACGAACCAAGCAAAGAAGGCUAAACUUCUCGACCAUAUGAGUGGUGACAAGGAGCAAGCGUCUUCCUCGCUGGACACUGGUAAAGGUAGGCUAAUUAGUUGAGUGAGGGGUAGAUUAAGUGUGGUUGCUAGGUUUAAGAUAUUGGUGUUUAGUGUUUGGGAGACAUUUGAGUCUAUCAUCCAGUGAGCUGGUGUGCUUUUGGUGUUUUCCACAUCUGCAG
Long non-coding RNA from Oreochromis aureus, 1008 nucleotides. NCBI's taxonomy places the organism in Eukaryota, Metazoa, Chordata, Actinopteri, Cichliformes, Cichlidae. The record is from Ensembl.